UACGUAGGGGGCAAGCGUUGUUCGGAAUCAUUGGGCGUAAAGGGUGCGUAGGCGGCGCGGUAAGUCGGGUGUGAAAUCUCGGAGCUUAACUCCGAAACUGCAUUCGAUACUGCCGUGCUUGAGGACUGGAGAGGAGAGUGGAAUUUACGGUGUAGCGGUGAAAUGCGUAGAUAUCGUAAGGAAGACCAGUGGCGAAGGCGGGUCUCUGGACAGUUCCUGACGCUGAGGCACGAAGGUCAGGGGAGCAAACGGG
Molecule: ribosomal RNA, 253 nt
Filed under: uncultured bacterium
Lineage: Bacteria
Description: partial 16S ribosomal RNA
Rfam family: Bacterial small subunit ribosomal RNA
Source: RNAcentral